Molecule: unclassified non-coding RNA, 254 nt
Filed under: Chaetosphaeronema sp.
Lineage: Eukaryota; Fungi; Ascomycota; Dothideomycetes; Pleosporales; Phaeosphaeriaceae
Also listed under: 1 other name
Description: partial internal transcribed spacer region
Rfam family: Eukaryotic small subunit ribosomal RNA (bases 1-46)
Source: RNAcentral
AAGUCGUAACAAGGUUUCCGUAGGUGAACCUGCGGAAGGAUCAUUACACUCAGUAGAUUUCUACUGCUCGGGGGGAGCGGAAAGUGCUUUUGCACGAGUACGCUCUCUUUCUGAAACCCUUGUCUUUUUGCGUACUUCUGUUUCCUCGGCGGGUUCGCCCGCCGGCUGGACAACUCAAUAACCUUUUUAAUUUUCAAUCAGCGUCUGAAUAAUCAUAAUAAUUACAACUUUCAACAACGGAUCUCUUGGUUCUG